Molecule: ribosomal RNA, 497 nt
Filed under: uncultured bacterium
Lineage: Bacteria
Description: partial 16S ribosomal RNA
Rfam family: Bacterial small subunit ribosomal RNA
Source: RNAcentral
GAUGAACGCUGGCGGCGUGCCUAAUACAUGCAAGUCGAGCGAACGGACGAGAAGCUUGCUUUUCUGAUGUUAGCGGCGGACGGGUGAGUAACACGUGGAUAACCUACCUAUAAGACUGGGAUAACUUCGGGAAACCGGAGCUAAUACCGGAUAAUAUUUUGAACCGCAUGGUUCAAAAGUGAAAGACGGUCUUGCUGUCACUUAUAGAUGGAUCCGCGCUGCAUUAGCUAGUUGGUAAGGUAACGGCUUACCAAGGCAACGAUGCAUAGCCGACCUGAGAGGGGGAUCCGCCCCCACGGAACGUGAACACCGUCCCGGCGCCUAAGGGAAGGAGCAGUAGGGAAUCCUACGCAAUGGGCGGAAACCUUGCCGAAGAACCGCGGGUGAGUGAUGGAAGUCCUCCGAUCGGAAAAACCUUUUAUUAGGGAAGAACAUAUGUGUAAGUAACUGUGCACAUCUUGACGGUACCUAAUCAGAAAGCCACGGCUAACUACGUG